RNAcentral lists this long non-coding RNA (2499 nucleotides) under Cucumis sativus (cucumber). Its description in RNAcentral is "long non-coding RNA (CSAT_LNC000695)". The record is from RNAcentral. Lineage: Eukaryota; Viridiplantae; Streptophyta; Magnoliopsida; Cucurbitales; Cucurbitaceae.
AAGAAAAAAAAGGAAACCUUCCAAUCCCAUUUUAUCUCUAUUACUUUCUACACCAAAAUUGGGUCCCACAACCCGGUUCUUUGUCUAGAGGAUAGCAGUUGAGUACUAGUGGUGGUCUCGGUUAGAAUUGGUAAGAAGAUAUCAAACCUUUUGAAAGCUUCAAAGGUAAUAUUUCCUAAAACCCUAAUUUGAUUAGUUUAAGGUCACAUGUUAAUUGUGGCAAUUAGGGUAGAAAUUCGAUUCUUUUUUCGCUAUGCAUGACUUAGUUCUAUCAUGUGGUAUUAGAGCAUGCUUCAUUUUUACCCAAUUGCAUGUGGUGGGUUCAUAUUUAUUAGAUAAAUUUUGGUUUGAACUAAAAUGGAUAUAUUAUGAUUUUGGCUCUAGAUUAAGUGUUUUUGUUAUAAUUAUUGUAAUUAGCCUUGUUAAUGGCUUAUUUUUAUUGUUGCAAAGUGUUUGUAAUCUUUUUUAAAAUAAAAAAAGUCAUUAGAGUUGAAGUUAGGCUGUAAUUGGUUCAACCGGCUGAGAGAAUUGAAAAAAAUGAAGAAAAGAAGGUCACAGACUCGAAAACCCGGCCUUGACCCGCUUCGCGACUCGCCCGCUCGCCCUUCUGCACCCGCGCCCGCCUGUGUCCCGCGACCGCCUGCACCCGCGCGCCUGCCGUGUGCGCCUCGGCUUGUUUAGUUAAUUGGGCCGGUUCAAGCCAAUAAAUUUGGUUUUUAGGCCUGUUCAAGAUGUUUCGGUUGGUUUUUUAGCCGGUUCGAAGUUUAUGGGAGUGGUUCUGUACUACACCAAAUUAAUUAUGUAAUAAUUUAGUACUUAGCUUAAUUUAGGAGCCAAAAAUCAGUCCAUUUUAGGGUGUUUUUUUUUAUUUAUGCAUGUGAUGUAUGAUUAAAUUACUUUAAAUUUGUAUGUGCAUUUUGAAUGUCAUAUAGAUUUAAAAUCCCACCAUAGGUUAACAUGUUCAUGCAUUAAAAUGUAUGAUAUAAAGUUAUAUUGUAUUGUAUGCAUGUUAAUUGAUUAAUAUGGAAAUUAAUUAAUAUAAUUAUUAAUUAAGUUAUUCUUGAUUAAAUAUGAUUUAAUCAAAUUAAUUAAUUAUGUUUGAUUUAAUUUAAUUAAAUAUGAUUUAAUUAAUUAAAAAUUAAAUUGAUAUAAUUAAAAUUAAAUAUGAUUUAAUUAAAGUUAAAUAAAUUAAAAUCCAUAUUAAUUGAUUGUUUUUAUAAUUAUAUAUUGAUAAAAUGAUUGAUUAAGUUUAAAAGUUUUUAUAAGUGUUAUAAAAUAAAUUAGACUUUUAAAAUCAAUAACAAAGAUUAAAUGCAUGCUCACUUAGGUUAAACAUAUCUUCCAUUUUUCAUAGAAAUAGGUCGAUAUCUUGUAAAACUGGUUUAAAAAGGCUCACCUGGUUCAAUCUUGUCAACAAGUCAGAUAAGAUGACUAAGGUUGGAGGUUCUUAAGUUGACGGUUUACGGAACACCUCCUACCUGGAGAUCGUAAUCAGUUCUUGAGCCUAGUUAACCUAGUUUUAUGAGCAUUCGUGAGAGGUGUGAGGUAAAAAAAUGGUUUAUCACCUAGACAUCAUAGGUUAAAAUCCUGUAUAAUGGUUAUACUUGGAUGUUUUAUCUAGACUUAAGAUUUGUUUAAGUUAGCCUAAAUAUAAAUCUUGAAGCUUGGAUUACCCCUUUUUUUUUUCUUUUAGAACACUUCAACUAGAGAAAAAUAAUGUAUUUUAGCUCUAGUGUCCCUAAGAGUUCACACCGUGAGGUCCAUGCAGGGCUUUGUGCCGUGCAUAGGAGCGGCCUCCCUUCGGAGAGUGUUUGCAUGGAUCAAAAUCAAGGUGAAUAGGGAAGUAGUUCAUAGUAAGUGGGUGAGGGAUUUGUGGCAGCACAUCCCACGGUCUCUUCCAUUAGGUCGCACCGUGAGAUUUCUAUAAUAUGCCUGCUUGUCUGCCCUGGAGCGACGUUCCCUUCGGAGGGUUGUAUUAUAGGAUUCGGAACACCGCGAACUCCAAAUCUGGAUAGGUUUUCUAGAUUAGUUUUCAUAAAUGAUUCUAAUCUAUGAAAUCUGAAAAUGGUGGGUAACACUUACAAGAAUUACUAAGUUGUUAGUAUAUUCUUGACUAAAGUAGCGAUAACUAAGUGCUAUAAAGAAUAAGAGUUAUUCUAGAGAUAGCAUCUAGUCAAGAUUGUCUUGGUUCAAAGGAGGAAUAAUCAACUACCCUUCGGAGAAGGUUGUUCUAAACCUUUGAAAUAUUGUUGCAAAAUACAAAUAAUGAAAGGGUACAUUAUUAGUAAUUGCUAAAUUAGAUUGGAUAUUUUUUAUGAUUAUAGUUUUUUCCUAAAAGAAUAUGUUUGUUUUUCAGCAUGAAUAGCUCAAUAGUUCAACUUUUAGCUUCCGAAAAACUUAAUGGCGAUAAUUAUGCGGCUUGGAAAUCAAAUCUUAACACAAUACUAGUGGUUGACGAUUUAAGAUUUGUCUUAACUGAGGAAUGUCCUCAAAACCCUG